UACGAAGGGGGCUAGCGUUGUUCGGAAUCACUGGGCGUAAAGGGCGCGUAGGCGGCCUGGCAAGUCGGGGGUGAAAGCCUGUGGCUCAACCACAGAAUGGCCUUCGAUACUGUCGGGCUUGAGACCGGAAGAGGUCAGUGGAACUGCGAGUGUAGAGGUGAAAUUCGUAGAUAUUCGCAAGAACACCAGUGGCGAAGGCGGCUGACUGGUCCGGUUCUGACGCUGAGGCGCGAAAGCGUGGGGAGCAAACAGG
This 253-nucleotide ribosomal RNA is filed under the name uncultured bacterium. RNAcentral's name for it is "partial 16S ribosomal RNA". It matches the Rfam family "Bacterial small subunit ribosomal RNA", at positions 524 to 776 of the family's 1533-position model. The record is from RNAcentral.